AAGGGCUUAUGACUCAAACAACACGUAACAAACAGCGAAUGAUUUUUCAUUUCUUUUUUCUCUUCCCAAACCCUUAGUUCUGCCACCGUACCUCACCGAUCGAAGUAGCCAUCGCCGGUUGGAGCAUCGGUAGUCGCCGACACAAGAGGGAAAAAAUGUGAAAAAAAGGGAACCCAUUUAUGUCCAACAUUUGAAAGCCCAAAAGUCAACCGGCUAUUUCCUUGGUUUUCCUUCCAUAAUCUCCGACGUUUAUUAACACACAUUCGAGAAGUCGUUGAAGUUUCAAUUCUCUCUUUGCAACUUGACAGUGAGUUAUUCCCAGUCUUCAUAUCAAGGUAAAUGAAAAGGGUUUUUUAUGAUGAUCCUUCUAGUGUUGGAGUUUAGGGGUUUGUUAAAUUUGUUGUCCAAGUCGCAUAUAGGUGGUGGUAUGAAGGCAAUUUUGUUAGUUUUUUUCUUGAAUGUGUAAUGGAGAAUUCUUGUUGGGUCUGCUGCAUACCCUAUACCUGUGUAUUGAAAAUUAAAUGUUGGUGACAUUUAAAUUUUCCAUCGCCAAAAUUGGAGAGAGUGUAGGCACUUCAAUCUUGGACGUAAAUUUCUGUUUAACUAAUUGCACGUUUUCUUGGUGUGAAAUUAUUCAAACUUUUAUUACGGUUUAUUUCAAUUUAUUCUUUGGUAUGUGUUGUUCCUCUAAUGGGUUUAGUGUUGCAACCUUGGUUGUUUUCAUUCCUGUUUCUUCCAUAAGGCACUUCGAUGUUGAAUGUUUAUCAAUUAGUUGAAGGGGUUGAAUAAGGGCAGUUUAUUCAGGUAUUGAAAAUGCUAUGUCCUUCGGUAAUUGACUUGUUUACUGUGAUUAGGUAGUGGUUGAUGUGUCUAGGUAGUCUUGUAGUUGUGAUUUUGUAUAAUUCAUUUUAAAAAAUGACUCUUAAUUAGCUUAUCCGGUUGGGUAUUCACAGUUUGUGGAUUUCUUGAAUUGAUAAAUAUUUUCUAUUUUUUAUUCCCAUCGUAAAAUACGCAGAAGGAACUUUGAAAUCUAUCAUAGUUGUAGAGCUAAAAACCAUUUGUUUGCCAAAUGCAAAAGGAAAAGCCCUUGCCCACGAUGUAAGUAUGGAUGUGAGAAAUGUUUUGCGAUGGAAAAGGAGAAUCACAAUAAGGGGAAACUAUUCCUUUGCUAUAGUCGAAAUUGUGGAUUUUGGGAGUGGGUCGUAAAAGAAAACUCAAGCGGUCAAUGUAGUAGCAAUAGCAUGACGGUCGUUAACCCCAUGAUGAAUGACACUGAUGAAGAAAUGUCCCGCAUGUUCAAAUCUUGGGUAAGGAUAAGUAAUGAAGAGGAGCUCUAGGUUUCAGUGAACGUGAGCAUCAAGAUGAAGAAAAUUGUUGCAGAUGUAGAUGGUAAAGGGAAGCGGCCAGCUUGACUUGAAGAUACUUAUCGAAGCUUUUGUCAAUGAAAAUUGAAUCAGCUUGUCCUUUAGCAUUUCUAGAGGCCGAAAGUUUUGUAUGUGAUGAAUUAAGUCAAGUAGUUGAGCUUUGUGGUACGAGGUUGUAGAUCAUGAUAGCUUCGUAACAAAACAAGCUUCUUUUGUAGACAUUCUGAUUAUGCUAAUUAGCACUUUAUGCUAAUUUAUCGUUUAUUUAUUCCAAGUUGACAAGCUUAAGUGAAGCAAAUAUUGCUACAAACACAUGAGAACUGCCAGUAGCAUCCAAAAUUCAAUCAGAUGGGAG
This 1719-nucleotide long non-coding RNA is filed under the name Olea europaea subsp. europaea. Lineage: Eukaryota; Viridiplantae; Streptophyta; Magnoliopsida; Lamiales; Oleaceae. The record is from RNAcentral.